This 481-nucleotide ribosomal RNA is filed under the name uncultured bacterium. RNAcentral's name for it is "partial 16S ribosomal RNA". It matches the Rfam family "Bacterial small subunit ribosomal RNA", at positions 28 to 505 of the family's 1533-position model. The record is from RNAcentral.
GAUGAACGCUGGCGGCGUGCCUAACACAUGCAAGUCGAACGAAGCUUGACGGAUGAUUUCUUCGGAAUGAAACCAGAUAUGACUUAGUGGCGGACGGGUGAGUAACACGUGAGCAACCUGCCUUUCAGAGGGGGAUAACGGCUGGAAACGGUCGCUAAUACCGCAUGAUGUGUUCGGAUGGCAUCAUCUGAACAUCAAAGAUUUAUCGCUGAAAGAUGGGCUCGCGUCUGAUUAGAUAGUUGGUGGGGUAACGGCCUACCAAGUCUACGAUCAGUAGCCGGACUGAGAGGUUGAACGGCCACAUUGGGACUGAGAUACGGCCCAGACUCCUACGGGAGGCAGCAGUGGGGAAUAGUGCACAAUGGGGGAAACCCUGAUGCAGCAACGCCGCGUGAAGGAUGACGGUUUUCGGAUUGUAAACUUCUUUUCUUAGUGACGAAGACAGUGACGGGAGCUAAGGAAUAAGCAUCGGCUAACGACG